This 263-nucleotide ribosomal RNA is filed under the name uncultured bacterium. Its description in RNAcentral is "partial 16S ribosomal RNA". It matches the Rfam family "Bacterial small subunit ribosomal RNA", at positions 95 to 354 of the family's 1533-position model. The record is from RNAcentral.
CCGGCGCACGGGUGAGUAACACGUAUGCAACCUGGCCGUGACAGAUGGAUAACCGGAAGAAAUUCCGACUAAUACAGCAUAACACUCCUGAGGGACAUCCCUUGGGAGUCAAAGGAGGCAACUCCGGUGACGGAUGGGCAUGCGGCGCAUUAGGUAGUUGGUAGGGUAACGGCCUACCAAGCCGACGAUGCGUAGGGGUUCUGAGAGGAAGGUCCCCCACAUUGGAACUGAGACACGGUCCAAACUCCUACGGAAGGCAGCAG